GAAUAUUGGACAAUGGGGGCAACCCUGAUCCAGCCAUGCCGCGUGUGUGAAGAAGGCCUUCGGGUUGUAAAGCACUUUAAGUUGGGAGGAAGGCUUCAAACCUAAUACGUUUGAGGAUUGACGUUACCAACAGAAUAAGCACCGGCUAACUCCGUGCCAGCAGCCGCGGUAAUACGGAGGGUGCAAGCGUUAAUCGGAAUUACUGGGCGUAAAGCGCGCGUAGGCGGCUGAUUAAGUCGGGUGUGAAAGCCCCGGGCUCAACCUGGGAACUGCACUCGAUACUGGUCGGCUGGAGUAUGAGAGAGGGAGGUAGAAUUCCACGUGUAGCGGUGAAAUGCGUAGAUAUGUGGAGGAAUACCGGUGGCGAAGGCGGCCUCCUGGCUUAAUACUGACGCUGAGGUGCGAAAGCGUGGGGAGCAAACAGG
RNAcentral lists this ribosomal RNA (425 nucleotides) under uncultured bacterium. RNAcentral describes it as "bacterial SSU rRNA". It matches the Rfam family "Bacterial small subunit ribosomal RNA", at positions 359 to 776 of the family's 1533-position model. The record is from RNAcentral.